This 253-nucleotide ribosomal RNA is filed under the name uncultured bacterium. RNAcentral describes it as "partial 16S ribosomal RNA". It matches the Rfam family "Bacterial small subunit ribosomal RNA", at positions 524 to 776 of the family's 1533-position model. The record is from RNAcentral.
UACGUAGGGAGCAAGCGUUGUCCGGAAUCACUGGGCGUAAAGGGCGCGUAGGUGGCGCCGCAAGUCCAUGGUGAAAGCUCGAUGCUCAACAUCGAGUCGGCCACGGAGACUGCGGGGCUCGAGCACUGUAGGGGCAGAUGGAAUUCCGGGUGUAGCGGUGGAAUGCGUAGAGAUCCGGAAGAACACCGGUGGCGAAGGCGGUCUGCUGGGGUCGAACUGACGCUGAGGCGCGACAGCGUGGGGAGCAAACAGG